This 889-nucleotide ribosomal RNA is filed under the name uncultured bacterium. Its description in RNAcentral is "bacterial SSU rRNA". It matches the Rfam family "Bacterial small subunit ribosomal RNA", at positions 505 to 1397 of the family's 1533-position model. The record is from RNAcentral.
GUGCCAGCAGCCGCGGUAAUACGGAGGAUGCAAGCGUUAUCCGGAUUUAUUGGGUUUAAAGGGUGCGUAGGCGGUUUGUCAAGUCAGCGGUGAAACGCAAGGGCUCAACCCUUGACCUGCCGUUGAAACUGGCGGACUUGAAUGCGGAUGCUGUGGGAGGAAUGUGUGGUGUAGCGGUGAAAUGCAUAGAUAUCACACAGAACACCGAUUGCGAAGGCAUCUCACAAAUCCGUGGUUGACGCUGAGGCACGAAAGUGUGGGGAUCAAACAGGAUUAGAUACCCUGGUAGUCCACACUGUAAACGAUGAUAACUCGCUGUCGGCGAUACACAGUCGGUGGCCAAGCGAAAGCGAUAAGUUAUCCACCUGGGGAGUACGACCGCAAGGUUGAAACUCAAAGGAAUUGACGGGGGCCCGCACAAGCGGAGGAACAUGUGGUUUAAUUCGAUGAUACGCGAGGAACCUUACCCGGGCUCGAACGGUAGACGAACAAUGUAGAGAUACAGCGGUCCUUCGGGACGUCUAUCGAGGUGCUGCAUGGUUGUCGUCAGCUCGUGCCGUGAGGUGUCGGCUUAAGUGCCAUAACGAGCGCAACCCUUGCCGUUAGUUACCAGCACGUCGUGGUGGGGACUCUAGCGGGACUGCCACCGUAAGGUGAGAGGAAGGGGGGGAUGACGUCAAAUCAGCACGGCCCUUACGUCCGGGGCGACACACGUGUUACAAUGGUGGGUACGGAGGGCAGCUACCUGGCGACAGGAUGCAAAUCUCGAAAACCCAUCUCAGUUCGGAUCGGAGUCUGCAACUCGACUCCGUGAAGUUGGAUUCGCUAGUAAUCGCGCAUCAGCCAUGGCGCGGUGAAUACGUUCCCGGGCCUUGUACACACCGCCCGU